RNAcentral lists this long non-coding RNA (153 nucleotides) under Fukomys damarensis (Damara mole-rat). RNAcentral's name for it is "lncRNA (ENSFDAG00000024660.1)". Lineage: Eukaryota; Metazoa; Chordata; Mammalia; Rodentia; Bathyergidae. The record is from RNAcentral.
AUGCUUUCAGUCCUAAGAGGCAGAUGGACCUGUGAGCAGAGAGUACCAAGGAACCACACAGGUACAGUGAGUGUACAGAGAAGUACUGGAAUGAAGGACCAUCGGCUGCCAAUAGUCUCAUGUUUGUUUUUCCAGUGUCAGAAAUCAGCUUGA